GACGAACGCUGGCGGCGCGCUUAACACAUGCAAGUCGAACGGAAAGGCCUGCUUUCCCUUGUGGAUUGCGGGUACUCGAGUGGCGAACGGGUGAGUAACACGUGAGCGAUCUGCCCCCAACUUGGGUAUAAGCCUGGGAAACUGGGUCUAAUUCCCGAUAGGACUGCAGGGUGGUGCCUGUGGUGGAAAACGAUUUUCUAGUGGUUGGGGAUGAGCUCGCGGCCUAUCAGCUUGUUGGUGGGGUAAUGGCCUACCAAGGCGGCGACGGGUAGCCGGCCUGGGAGCGUGGACGGCGACACUGGGACUGGGAUACGGCCCAGACUCCUACGGGAGGCAGCAGUGGGGACUAUUGCACAAUGGGCGGAAGCCUGAUGCAGCGACGCCGCGUGGGGGAUGACGGCCUUCGGGUUGUAAGCUCCUUUCGACCGCGAGGAAGCCACCUGGUUGGAAGGGUGGUGACGGUAGUGGUAGAAGAAGCACCGGCUAACUACGUG
RNAcentral lists this ribosomal RNA (494 nucleotides) under uncultured bacterium. Its description in RNAcentral is "partial 16S ribosomal RNA". It matches the Rfam family "Bacterial small subunit ribosomal RNA", at positions 28 to 507 of the family's 1533-position model. The record is from RNAcentral.